CACCUUUUUUUUUUUUUACCCAGCUUGGCCACUUGUUCAAAAACAGCAGCAUUGGCUCCCUGUACUUUGGAUGCAAGGUUCUUGAACUCAGAUCUAUGAAGAAAAAGGAUCACAGACAGGUGUGAGUGCCCUCUGCACCUACCACCAGUUCCCCAGCAGCAUUGUUCUGGAUGCCAAGCAGGUUUUCCAUGAGCUGAGCAACCAGAGUCAUGGCCUCCAGAAAUUGGGCCUCUGCUACCUGGACAAGGACAGUAUUUACCUCAAUGUUCCAGGUCCAGCCACAACAGUUGCAUCUAAGCCUGCCCUGGGGCCCAUAUGUAACCCAAAAGCUUUAAGACAGAACCAAUACAUUGGAUGACAGAGUUGGAAUCCCAAAGUAUAGGCUAGAAUGUUGGUGUCAAAUCUAAUAAGGUGAAACCUAAUAGGAAUAAUAAAACUUUAUAUCUGGACUCUAAAAACCAACUUCAUGAGUUCAAGAUGGAGGAGCUGUGCUAGACUUCUCUGAAAAAAAAAUUGGGAAUUUUAAUGGACUACCAGCUCAACAAGGUUCAACAAUGUUGUAUGAUAAAUAAAAAAGUUAAGAAAAAUCUUAGGCUGUGCUGAGAAAGAUAACAUAUUCAACUAUCUCCAGGUGGUUAAAGGGCUGUCACAGGGAAAAGAAAAGGGCCUGGACUUGUCCUGCUUGGUGUCCCAGAGGGCUGAACUAGUAACAAUGAGUAAAGUUGCAAAGAAGCAAAUUUAUGCUUGACGUCAAGAAAACUUUCCUAUUGAGUGGUGGUAUACCAAACUGAGAUGGUCUACUUCAGGAAGUAAAAGGUUACCCUUCCCUGAAGAACUUCAAAUAAAUAACUACUAGAUCACCACUUGUUGGGGACAUUGUAGAGGGGAUUCUUGGUCAGUUAUGGGUUGGACCAGGUCAUCCCUGAGGUGCUGCAUUCUGUCAAUCCUUAUUCUUGGUGUGUUGAAUUUCUCUUCUAAGCCAGAAGACUGGGGAGAGCAGUCUGGUGACAAGCCAGGGCAACCUGAAGCUUCGGGGUCAGCCACUGGAUCAACCUUCACUCCUUCACUAGGAUCUACAGGGCCUGGAGCCUACGCGGGUAGGAAUAUGGUGACUGAAGUAUUCUGGAAAGUGCUCACUGGGCUUUUCAAAGCUCUUGAAAGAAGGAAAAAGGAAACAGACUUUAUCCAUACAAAUCCUUCUUACUCUAAGAAGUAG
This 1216-nucleotide long non-coding RNA is filed under the name Phascolarctos cinereus (koala). RNAcentral's name for it is "lncRNA (ENSPCIG00000032061.1)". Lineage: Eukaryota; Metazoa; Chordata; Mammalia; Diprotodontia; Phascolarctidae. The record is from RNAcentral.